UGAAUACGUUCUCGGGCCUUGUACACACCGCCCGUCACGUCAUGGGAGCCGGUAACGCCUGAAGUCGAUGGGCUAACCCGAAAGGGAGGCAGUCGCCGAAGGCGGGACUGGUGACUGGGACGAAGUCGUAACAAGGUAGCCGUACGGGAACGUGCGGCUGGAUCACCUCCUUUCUAGGGAG
Molecule: ribosomal RNA, 181 nt
Filed under: Chloroflexota bacterium
Lineage: Bacteria; Bacillati; Chloroflexota
Description: Chloroflexi bacterium (hot springs metagenome) partial 16S ribosomal RNA
Rfam family: Bacterial small subunit ribosomal RNA
Source: RNAcentral